GAGUUUGAUCCUGGCUCAGGAUGAACGCUGGCGGCGUGCUUAACACAUGCAAGUCGAACGGACUCAUAUUGAAACCUAGUGAUUUAUGAGUUAGUGGCGGACGGGUGAGUAACGCGUGGAUAACCUGCCGUAUACCGGGGGAUAACACUUAGAAAUAGGUGCUAAUACCGCAUAAGCGCACGGCUCCGCAUGGGGCAGUGUGAAAAACUCCGGUGGUAUACGAUGGAUCCGCGUCUGAUUAGCUAGUUGGCGGGGUAACGGCCCACCAAGGCAGCGAUCAGUAGCCGGCCUGAGAGGGUGGACGGCCACAUUGGGACUGAGACACGGCCCAAACUCCUACGGGAGGCAGCAGUGGGGAAUAUUGCACAAUGGGGGAAACCCUGAUGCAGCGACGCCGCGUGAGUGAAGAAGUAUCUCGGUACGUAAAGCUCUAUCAGCAGGGAAGAAAACGACGGUACCUGACUAAGAAGCCCCGGCUAACUACGUGCCAGCAGCCGCGGUAAUACGUAGGGGGCAAGCGUUAUCCGGAUUUACUGGGUGUAAAGGGAGCGUAGACGGCAGCACAAGUCUGGAGUGAAAUCCCGGGGCUUAACCCCGGAACUGCUUUGGAAACUGUGCGGCUGGAGUGCAGGAGGGGUAAGCGGAAUUCCUAGUGUAGCGGUGAAAUG
Molecule: ribosomal RNA, 668 nt
Filed under: uncultured bacterium
Lineage: Bacteria
Description: bacterial SSU rRNA
Rfam family: Bacterial small subunit ribosomal RNA
Source: RNAcentral